Molecule: ribosomal RNA, 521 nt
Filed under: uncultured Glomeraceae
Lineage: Eukaryota; Fungi; Glomeromycota; Glomeromycetes; Glomerales; Glomeraceae
Description: SSU rRNA
Rfam family: Eukaryotic small subunit ribosomal RNA
Source: RNAcentral
AGCAGCCGCGGUAAUUCCAGCUCCAAUAGCGUAUAUUAAAGUUGUUGCAGUUAAAAAGCUCGUAGUUGAAUUUCGAGACCGGUCUACUGGUCGUGCUUUUGUACGUACUGGUAUAAUCGGUUUCUCUCUUCUGACGAACUAUAAUGCCAUUAAUUUGGUGUUUUAGGGAAUCAGGACUGUUACUUUGAAAAAAUUAGAGUGUUUAAAGCAGGCUCACGCUUGAAUACAUUAGCAUGGAAUAACGAAAUAGGACGUUUGAUUCUAUUUUGUUGGUUUCUAGGAUCGACGUAAUGAUUAAUAGGGAUAGUUGGGGGCAUUAGUAUUCAAUUGUCAGAGGUGAAAUUCUUGGAUUUAUUGAAGACUAACUACUGCGAAAGCAUUUGCCAAGGAUGUUUUCAUUAAUCAAGAACGAAAGUUAGGGGAUCGAAGACGAUCAGAUACCGUCGUAGUCUUAACCAUAAACUAUGCCGACUAGGGAUCGGAUGAUGUUAAUUUUAUAAUGACUCAUUCGGCGCCUUACG